CCUUCUGAUUGAUUGGAUGGAGCAGUGAGCCGGCGCGUACAUUACUAACUGCACGGCAUCAGGCUGAUGAGCCUGGCAUUUCUUUAGCUGAAAGCGAACGCGCAUUCAUGUAGAGCUAAUGCUUUCUCAAGCUCAAGGGUGAUGGGUGGUCCAAAGAGUUUAUUCAGGCUGUGUUGGAGGAGUAAAGAGGAAGAGAUUUCCCCAACCGACGCGAGUAAGUAAAGUAAGCGUCAAGAGCAGAAGCAGCACCAUUCCAGCCGGCAGCCUGGAGUCUGACUUUCCCUGCACGGCAGGUUAAAGCUUCCUUGAUGAUCAAUGGUGGUACUGGGCCGGUGAAUGCCUGCUGCACCUGGGUGAGAUAAGAAGAUCCAGAUGAAAAGAAGGAAGGAAGGAAAAGGGAAGAGAAGAAGAAGAGGAGGAGGAAAAAUGGAUGGGGGUUCAAGAGGCAGAAUGAGAAAUCUUGGAAGACUUGCAUGAACUGAUGCGGAGCGAAAUGACUAGAACCAAGAGGAUAACUUAUACAAUGACAACCUGUCACUGUAUAUUGUAAAGACAAACAUUUUGGAAGGACUUGGGAACUCCGAUCAACACGACGACCAACCGUAAUUUCAGAGAAUUCGUCAUGAAACGCGCUGUCUACUUCCGAACAGAGAGGUGAAGGAGAACUCGUUGACACAGACUGAGAUUGAGACGGCUGUUUUGUUUUGCUUUUGAUGUGGCCGUCAAAGGGAGUGGUUUUGCUUGACUAUAUGUUUGUAACAGGGAGAUUGUUCUUCUCGCAUUCUCAGUGGAGGUUGAGAGGAAGCAGAAGUGGGAAGAGGAGAAUGUGGACUUGAAAAAGGAAGAAACCCCAGAUCAGCCACUGCUUCUGUUAAACCUGAUCUUCAUUCUCGCCAUGGACUCUGGUCCCCCCUUUUCCUCCCGGACUCUCUUCCUCUCUUAGCUUCACUUUCCUUCCUUCAUAAUCUUGACAUUAAUCAAUUUUUUAAAAAGUAUUUUUCUCCACCAUGGAUUCCCUUGGCCCCAGUGUUCAUGCUGUGCCAAUCCCCAGCCUUGGGCCACCCCUCGCCUCCACCUUCUGUGCCAUGGCUCUUAAGCCAUUCGCUGCCUGUCACUAACAGAGCUCGCAAAACCGUGCUGACUCGGUCCGCCUACUUGGCCCUGCUCGCUGCACAGCAAUCCUCAUUUCCGCUGUGAUUAACUAUCACUCUCCAAGCAACAGCUGUCCUGAGCUUCUUAGCCCCCAGCCACUUCCCCCUAUCCUUCUGCUCAGCAGGCAACGCUGCUUUGCUGAGAAGAUCAAGGCCAUCUGUGAUGACCCAGCGGCCUACUCCCCCUCUCCAACCCCACCUCCCUCUUCAUGAGUCUCCCUCUCACAGCCUCAGAGGAAGAGGCAGCCCUUCCCUCCGAACUUCCCCCUCCCCUUCCCAUCUCCUUUGGAAGCUUGCCCACCAAUCAAUCUCCCUAGGCACUGAGGCCCGCCCCACUCUCUGGCCUCCUUUCCAAAGCUCCCAGGAUCUAUGGUUGAGCAGCGUCCUUAUUUCCUCCAGCAAGCCUGCGCAUGGUGCCCUUGACACUCAGUUAAUGGCCUCUGACUGCUGCCGUGGCCAGAAAAUGAAUGCCCCUGCUAAUGAGUCGGUCCUUGGCCAACACAUGCAGUCUAUUGCCAGGUGCUCAGAGCUUUUCCAGCCCGGCAGGGACGUGCCGUAAACCUGGUUUCAUGGAUGCAGCCUUGGAAAUUCCAAGGGAGGGCCUUCCCCAGCACGCUGAGGAUUCCGCCCAGGCAGGGCGCCCUCGGUCUUAACCUGCCCCCAGAUGCUGCUGUUGCCGGUCCUUCAUUCUCGCAGAGCACCAGUGACAUCAGGGGGGUGACGUCACAACGCCCUGAAUGGGAUGUAAGUGAGGCAGGGCUGUGCACCAUCACCAGCCCCGCGCUCUCCUCCAGAGUCAUCAGAGUCCAGCGGCAAGACGACUCAAGUGUUCGAGACGACUGGUGGUGGUCCAGCUGCUAGGCAUUCACACUUCCUUCUUGUAUCUUUCCUUCUU
Long non-coding RNA from Vombatus ursinus (common wombat), 2046 nucleotides. RefSeq lists it as uncharacterized. The transcript has 3 exons. The record is from RefSeq and is a predicted model, not a curated record. NCBI's taxonomy places the organism in Eukaryota, Metazoa, Chordata, Mammalia, Diprotodontia, Vombatidae.